This is a small nuclear RNA of Dromiciops gliroides (monito del monte), 124 nucleotides long. Lineage: Eukaryota; Metazoa; Chordata; Mammalia; Microbiotheria; Microbiotheriidae. The record is from RefSeq and is a predicted model, not a curated record.
GUAAUGUGUGAUGGGAGAGAAAGUUAGUACUCUUUGAGAAGGACAGAAGAGGUACUGGUGACCUUUAGAUCAUAUACAGAUAGAACUGUGCCACUUAUUCAGCAGCAUUUAACCGUGUUUUCCU